AAUAUUCAGUAUACAGGCAUACAUCGGCUUAAUUCGUUCUCUAUUAUACGUCGGUUUUCAAAAAUAAUAUAUGGAAAAAUAAAAAUCAAGUUAAGUCAUUUUACUCAACUUUACCUCUGUCCGCCACCAAUAUUGGAAUCGUAAAAUCAUUAGGAAAACGUUAAAAGCACA
Molecule: long non-coding RNA, 171 nt
Organism: Octopus sinensis (East Asian common octopus)
Lineage: Eukaryota; Metazoa; Mollusca; Cephalopoda; Octopoda; Octopodidae
Exons: 3
Source: RefSeq, a predicted model, not a curated record